GAUGAAGCCGAAGCUUGCUUUGGUGGAUUAGUGGCGAACGGGUGAGUAACACGUGAGUAACCUGCCCCUGACUCUGGGAUAAGCCUGGGAAACUGGGUCUAAUACCGGAUAUGACUGCGGAACGCAUGUUCUGUGGUGGAAAGAUUUAUCGGUUGGGGAUGGACUCGCGGCCUAUCAGCUUGUUGGUGAGGUAAUGGCUCACCAAGGCGACGACGGGUAGCCGGCCUGAGAGGGUGACCGGCCACACUGGGACUGAGACACGGCCCAGACUCCUACGGGAGGCAGCAGUGGGGAAUAUUGCACAAUGGGCGAAAGCCUGAUGCAGCGACGCCGCGUGAGGGAUGACGGCCUUCGGGUUGUAAACCUCUUUCAGUAGGGAAGAAGCGAGAGUGACGGUACCUGCAGAAGAAGCGCCGGCUAACUACGUGCCAGCAGCCGCGGUAAUACGUAGGGCGCAAGCGUUAUCCGGAUUUAUUGGGCGUAAAGAGCUCGUAGGCGGUUUGUCGCGUCUGCCGUGAAAGUCCGAGGCUCAACCUCGGAUCUGCGGUGGGUACGGGCAGACUAGAGUGAUGUAGGGGAGACUGGAAUUCCUGGUGUAGCGGUGAAAUGCGCAGAUAUCAGGAGGAACACCGAUGGCGAAGGCAGGUCUCUGGGCAUUUACUGACGCUGAGGAGCGAAAGCAUGGGGGAGCGAACAGGAUUAGAUACCCUGGUAGUCCAUGCCGUAAACGUUGGGCACUAGGUGUGGGGGACAUUCCACGUUUUCCGCGCCGUAGCUAACGCAUUAAGUGCCCCGCCUGGGGAGUACGGCCGCAAGGCUAAAACUCAAAGGAAUUGACGGGGGCCCGCACAAGCGGCGGAGCAUGCGGAUUAAUUCGAUGCAACGCGAAGAACCUUACCAAGGCUUGACAUGUUCCAGACCGGGCUAGAGAUAGUCCUUCCCUUCGGGGCUGGUUCACAGGUGGUGCAUGGUUGUCGUCAGCUCGUGUCGUGAGAUGUUGGGUUAAGUCCCGCAACGAGCGCAACCCUCGUUCCAUGUUGCCAGCACGUAGUGGUGGGGACUCAUGGGAGACUGCCGGGGUCAACUCGGAGGAAGGUGGGGAUGACGUCAAAUCAUCAUGCCCCUUAUGUCUUGGGCUUCACGCAUGCUACAAUGGCCGGUACAAUGGGUUGCGAUACUGUGAGGUGGAGCUAAUCCCUAAAAGCCGGUCUCAGUUCGGAUUGGGGUCUGCAACUCGACCCCAUGAAGUCGGAGUCGCUAGUAAUCGCAGAUCAGCAACGCUGCGGUGAAUACGUUCCCGGGCCUUGUACACACCGCCCGUCAAGUCAAGAAAAAGUGAGC
This is a ribosomal RNA of 1341 nucleotides. It matches the Rfam family "Bacterial small subunit ribosomal RNA", at positions 68 to 1417 of the family's 1533-position model.